This 418-nucleotide ribosomal RNA is filed under the name uncultured bacterium. Its description in RNAcentral is "bacterial SSU rRNA". It matches the Rfam family "Bacterial small subunit ribosomal RNA", at positions 338 to 795 of the family's 1533-position model. The record is from RNAcentral.
CCUACGGGUUGCACCAGUGGGGAAUUUUCCGCAAUGGGCGAAAGCCUGACGGAGCAAUGCCGCGUGGAGGUAGAAGGCCCACGGGCCGUGAACUUCUUUUCCCGGAGAAGAAGCCCCGGCUAACUUCGUGCCAGCAGCCGCGGUAAUACGAAGGGGGCUAGCGUUGUUCGGAAUUACUGGGCGUAAAGCGCGCGUAGGCGGAUAGAUAAGUCAGAGGUGAAAUCCCGGGGCUCAACCCCGGAAUUGCCUUUGAUACUGUUUAUCUUGAGUGCAGAAGAGGUAAGUGGAAUUCCGAGUGUAGAGGUGAAAUUCGUAGAUAUUCGGAGGAACACCAGUGGCGAAGGCGGCUUACUGGUCUGCAACUGACGCUGAGGCGCGAAAGCGUGGGGAGCAAACAGGAUUAGAUACCCUUGUAGUC